GAUGAACGCUGGCGGCGUGCCUAAUACAUGCAAGUCGAGCGAACGGACGAGAAGCUUGCUUCUCUGAUGUUAGCGGCGGACGGGUGAGUAACACGUGGAUAACCUACCUAUAAGACUGGGAUAACUUCGGGAAACCGGAGCUAAUACCGGAUAAUAUUUUGAACCGCAUGGUUCAAAAGUGAAAGACGGUCUUGCUGUCACUUAUAGAUGGAUCCGCGCUGCAUUAGCUAGUUGGUAAGGUAACGGCUUACCAAGGCAACGAUGCAUAGCCGACCUGAGAGGGUGGUCGGCCGCACUGGAACUGGAACACGGUCCAGACGCCUACGGGAGGCAGCAGUAGGGUAUGUUCGGCAAUGGGCGGAAGCCUGACGGAGCAACGCCGCGUGAGUGAUGAAGGUCUUCGGAGCGGAAAACUCUGUUAUUAGGGAAGAACAUAUGUGUAAGUAACUGUGCACAGCUUGACGGUACCUAAUCAGAAAGCCACGGCUAACUACGUG
RNAcentral lists this ribosomal RNA (497 nucleotides) under uncultured bacterium. Its description in RNAcentral is "partial 16S ribosomal RNA". It matches the Rfam family "Bacterial small subunit ribosomal RNA", at positions 28 to 507 of the family's 1533-position model. The record is from RNAcentral.